UAACAAGACAUGAAGAGAGUUUGUUGCCUUUUGUCACCCCUGAAUCACCUGGAUGAGACACAAGGAAACAACCUGUGCCUGAGCUGGGAUUUGGAGGGAUACUACUGGACUCAGGCUCUCCAUCCAAUCCAGGCCAGCUCAGUCCUUCCCUUCCCUGAAGGCUUGGGAAGAGCUGUGUCCCCAGCCUCUGCCCAGAGCGCCCAUCACUCUGGCCACUGAACCUGGCAGAUGCAUCAGACACUGCAUUGGGAUGACUGCCAGGAUUCCUGUGGUGCAGGAGUCUGCAUAAAUAGGAGCCAGUAUACCAUGGUGCUCAGCAGCCUGAUUAUCAUUACAAAACCUUCUCUCCUCUUUAGCACUGCAUCUUCAUAUUAAAAAUAAUGUUCCUAUGCUUAGACUUCUUAUUUUUAGUGUACUAGAAACACAUAAUCUGUGAGUUGUAUGUAUAUUCAAU
RNAcentral lists this long non-coding RNA (454 nucleotides) under Parus major (Great Tit). RNAcentral's name for it is "lncRNA (ENSPMJG00000016313.1)". Lineage: Eukaryota; Metazoa; Chordata; Aves; Passeriformes; Paridae. The record is from RNAcentral.